GACACUCUGCAUUGCCUUUUUACGUCACCUUCCAUCCCUAAUUUUGCAGGACGCCCUCCCCCUGUAAUUUUCAUGAUGUCUCAUGCCUGCACAGCGGUGAGGAAGAGUUCUUCCCAGAUUUGGUAGGAAACAACAGCAAAGGGAGCUGGAAUCUGGGCGCGAGUCCAGGGGAAGGGCUGUCUGCUGUCCAUGGCUUUCUGGCACUAAGCUGCUUCCUGAAGAUUACACAGCAAGCCAGGAUCAGCAUCUCAAGAGGAGCCGAUCCAGGAGAGAACGGGGGGCCAAAAGAGCCUGAGGAGUCUGAAGAUGGAGCUUUAUCAGCUUAGCAAAAGGCGAAGGUGACUGAGGCGCGAUGAGCACGUACUCAUGUCCCAGAGAGAGGAGGAUGAUGCAGGGGGAGCCCUUCCAGGCUGCCGUCGGCGUGACUAUUUGGGAUCAGCCUGGAGACUGGCCAAGGGAAGGCACCUCUAUAAUCGUGGAGAAGAGGCAGAGCCAAGUGCCCAGCACUUCCAUCGGGAGCAGAGAGCAGCGGUCACGACGAGGAGCUCUGGGAUGGGAUAAUCACCCUGACACUAACGAAGUCUCGGGGACCACCAGUGCUAGUGCCAAAUGUGCCCUGUACAGCAUUGGCAUCUUCAGAGAAAGAAAGCAGUGGAUGAGGACUUCUAAAGUAGCUGAGAUUGUGCUGGAAUGGACACGGAUUUGGGAAGAGGAGAGACGCUCCCCUCCCCAGGGGUGGCUGUCACCAAAACCACAGCAAAACCCUCAGCUCAGCUCCUGAUGAACGGUGCAUGGGACAAAGUCACAUCGCACGUAAAAUACCCCAGGACCCUUGUGGGGGCCUAAACAGAGGACACUGGGGGGUUUCAUCUUCAUUUUCUCCCUGGGGGGAUGCUUUUCCCACACCAGCAAAGGGGAUGAAGGCUCCCUUGGCCAAACUGCAGUGGCCCCCAGCUCUGUGAGGGGGUGUCGUGGCUCUGUUAGGGGGUGACCUGGCUCUGUGGGGGGUGACAUAGCUCUACGAGGGGGUGACCCGACCCGUGUCAGGGGGUGACAGCUCCAUGAGGGGGUCACACAGCUCUGUGAGGGGGCGACCUGGCUCUGUGAGGGGUUGACGUGGCUCCAUAGGGGGUGACAUGGCUCUGUGGGGGGUGACAUAGCUCUACGAGGGGGUGACCUGACCCGUGUCAGGGGGUGCCAGCU
RNAcentral lists this long non-coding RNA (1203 nucleotides) under Calidris pugnax (ruff). RNAcentral describes it as "lncRNA (ENSCPUG00000013968.1)". The record is from RNAcentral. Lineage: Eukaryota; Metazoa; Chordata; Aves; Charadriiformes; Scolopacidae.